Molecule: ribosomal RNA, 1341 nt
Filed under: uncultured bacterium
Lineage: Bacteria
Description: 16S ribosomal RNA
Rfam family: Bacterial small subunit ribosomal RNA
Source: RNAcentral
GACGAACGCUGGCGGCGUGCUUAACACAUGCAAGUCGAACGGUAAGGCUCCAGCUUGCUGGGGUACACGAGUGGCGAACGGGUGAGUAACACGUGGGUGACCCGCCCUGCACUUCGGGAUAAGCCUGGGAAACUGGGUCUAAUACCGGAUAGGACCGCACCGUGAGGGUGUGGUGGAAAGUUUUUUCGGUGUGGGAUGGGCCCGCGGCCUAUCAGCUUGUUGGUGGGGUAAUGGCCUACCAAGGCGGCGACGGGUAGCCGGCCUGAGAGGGUGGACGGCCACAUUGGGACUGAGACACGGCCCAGACUCCUACGGGAGGCAGCAGUGGGGAAUAUUGCACAAUGGGCGGAAGCCUGAUGCAGCGACGCCGCGUGGGGGAUGACGGCCUUCGGGUUGUAAACUCCUUUCACCAUCGACGAAGGGUUUCUGACGGUAGAUGGAGAAGAAGCACCGGCUAACUACGUGCCAGCAGCCGCGGUAAUACGUAGGGUGCGAGCGUUGUCCGGAAUUACUGGGCGUAAAGAGCUCGUAGGUGGUUUGUCGCGUCGUCUGUGAAAUUCCGGGGCUUAACUCCGGGCGUGCAGGCGAUACGGGCAUAACUUGAGUACUGUAGGGGAGACUGGAAUUCCUGGUGUAGCGGUGAAAUGCGCAGAUAUCAGGAGGAACACCGGUGGCGAAGGCGGGUCUCUGGGCAGUAACUGACGCUGAGGAGCGAAAGCAUGGGGAGCGAACAGGAUUAGAUACCCUGGUAGUCCAUGCCGUAAACGGUGGGCGCUAGGUGUGGGUUUCCUUCCACGGGAUCCGUGCCGUAGCUAACGCAUUAAGCGCCCCGCCUGGGGAGUACGGCCGCAAGGCUAAAACUCAAAGGAAUUGACGGGGGCCCGCACAAGCGGCGGAGCAUGUGGAUUAAUUCGAUGCAACGCGAAGAACCUUACCUGGGCUUGACAUAUACAGGAUCGCGCCAGAGAUGGUGUUUCCCUUGUGGCUUGUAUACAGGUGGUGCAUGGUUGUCGUCAGCUCGUGUCGUGAGAUGUUGGGUUAAGUCCCGCAACGAGCGCAACCCUUGUCUUAUGUUGCCAGCACGUUGUGGUGGGGACUCGUAAGAAACUGCCGGGGUUAACUCGGAGGAAGGUGGGGAUGACGUCAAAUCAUCAUGCCCCUUAUGUCCAGGGCUUCACACAUGCUACAAUGGUCGGUACAGUGGGUUGCCAGUCCGUGAGGGCGAGCUAAUCCCGCAAAGCCGGUCUCAGUUCGGAUCGGGGUCUGCAACUCGACCCCGUGAAGUCGGAGUCGCUAGUAAUCGCAGAUCAGCAACGCUGCGGUGAAUACGUUCCCGGGCCU